GAAAAGGAGAUGAUAAGAUUAGCUUUUGGUCCAGAAACCCAUUUGGUUUCACUAAUUAACCAAGCUAAAGCUUGUUUAGGACUUCCAUCAAACACUUCAUCUGCAUCUUCAACUCCUAACUCUCCUUCACCUUUUAAUCCCAUGUCAAAUGCUACAAAGUUGAACUCAUCAAACACUUCAUCUGUAACUUCAACUCCUAACUCUCCUUCACCUUUUAACCCCAUGUCAAAUGCUACAAAGUUGAACCUUUUCCCUCAAUCUUCACCAAGAAUCAUGAUUCCUAAUAAUGGGUUUGUUCAUUCUUCACCUAAUUCACCUUGGUCUAGUGGGUCACCUGUGUUUUCA
This 345-nucleotide long non-coding RNA is filed under the name Nicotiana benthamiana. RNAcentral describes it as "long non-coding RNA (NBEN_LNC015644)". The record is from RNAcentral. Lineage: Eukaryota; Viridiplantae; Streptophyta; Magnoliopsida; Solanales; Solanaceae.